RNAcentral lists this ribosomal RNA (331 nucleotides) under uncultured actinobacterium WB028. RNAcentral describes it as "bacterial SSU rRNA". It matches the Rfam family "Bacterial small subunit ribosomal RNA", at positions 121 to 452 of the family's 1533-position model. The record is from RNAcentral. Lineage: Bacteria; Bacillati; Actinomycetota; Actinomycetes.
GCAACCUGCCCCGAAGAUUGGGACAACACCGGGAAACCGGUGCUAAUACCGGAUAUCCCUAUCGGACCGCAUGAUCUGAUAAGGAAAGUUUUUCGCUUCGGGAGGGGCUCGUGGCCUAUCAGCUAGUUGGUGAGGUAACGGCCCACCAAGGCAUCGACGGGUAGCUGGUCUGAGAGGACGAUCAGCCACACUGGGACUGAGACACGGCCCAGACUCCUACGGGAGGCAGCAGUGGGGAAUCUUGCGCAAUGGGCGAAAGCCUGACGCAGCAACGCCGCGUGGAGGACGAAGGCUUUCUGAGUUGUAAACUCCUUUCAGCAGGGACGAGCAG